This is an RNA transcript of Octodon degus (degu), 729 nucleotides long. It is a transcript of the gene named protein FAM133B pseudogene, with no coding region annotated. The transcript has a single exon. Lineage: Eukaryota; Metazoa; Chordata; Mammalia; Rodentia; Octodontidae. The record is from RefSeq and is a predicted model, not a curated record.
GCUCUGUCUGGCACCACGGGGAAACGGGACAAUCGGGUGGCCUACGUGAAUCCAACAGCAAUGGCCAGAUCAAGAGGUCCAGUCCAGUCUUCAGGGCCGACCAUGCAGGAUUAUCUGAAUCGACCCAGGCCUACCUGGGGAGAAGUGAAAGAACAACUAGAAGAGAAAAAGAAAGGCUCUGAGGCUCUGGCUGAAUUUGAAGAAAAAAUGAAUGAGAAUUGGAAGAAAGAACUAGAAAAGCACAGAGAGAACUUAUUAAGUGGAAAUGAGAGCUCAUCCAAAAAAAGAAAAGAACUCUGGUAGGUAUUCAUCUUCUUCUUCUUCAGGCUCUGAUUCUUCCACCAGUUCUUCAGGUUCUGAGGAUGGGAGAAAGAAGCAAGCAAAAAGGAGAAGGUAAAAGAAGAACUGUUCAUAUAAAUCUUCUGCAAGUUGCCAGUCAGAAACUGAGUCAGACAGUGAGGACAGUUGAAAAAAGAAAAAGAAGUCAAAGGAUGUAAGCGAGAAAGAAAAGGACGUUAAAGGACUGACCAAAGAAAGAAAGAUGUAUCCUGCAGGUGAGCCUUCUUCAUCUGGGUCCUUGUCAGAAUCAGAUCAUACUGAAGAGGUGCGAGCAAUAAAGAAGAAAAGCAGUGGAGAACGAGAAAAAGCAGCAGAAAAAAGAAAAAGCGUAAGAAGCAGAGUAAGAAGAAGAAAAAGAAGGCUGCUAGUUCACGUCCUGAGUCACCAUAA